AGUGAACGCUGGCGGUAUGCCUAACACAUGCAAGUCGAACGGCAGCACAGUAAGAGCUUGCUCUUACGGGCGGCGAGUGGCGGACGGGUGAGGAAUACAUCGGAAUCUACUUUUUCGGGGGGGAUAACGUAGGGAAACUUACGCUAAUACCGCAUACGACCUACGGGUGAAAGCAGGGGAUCUUCUGACCUUGCGCGAUUGAAUGAGCCGAUGUCGGAUUAGCUAGUUGGCGGGGUAAAGGCCCACCAAGGCGACGAUCCGUAGCUGGUCUGACAGGGUGAUCAGCCACACUGGAACUGAGACACGGUCCAGACUCCUGCGGGAGGCAGCAGUGGGGAAUAUUAGACGAUGGGCGAAAGCCUGAUCCAGCCAUACCGCGUGAGUGAAGAAGGCCUUCGGGUUGUAGAGCCCUUUUGUUGGGAAAGAAAUACAGCAGGUUAAUACCCCACUGUUAUGACGGUACCCAAAGAAUAAGCACCGGCUAACUUCGUG
This 492-nucleotide ribosomal RNA is filed under the name uncultured bacterium. Its description in RNAcentral is "partial 16S ribosomal RNA". It matches the Rfam family "Bacterial small subunit ribosomal RNA", at positions 29 to 507 of the family's 1533-position model. The record is from RNAcentral.